UACGUAGGGUGCAAGCGUUGUCCGGAAUUAUUGGGCGUAAAGGGCUCGUAGGCGGUCUGUCGCGUCGGGGAGUGAAAACACGGGGCUUAACCCCGUGCCUGCUUCCGAUACGGGCAGACUAGAGGUAUGCAGGGGGAGAACGGAAUUCCUGGUGUAGCGGUGAAAUGCGCAGAUAUCAGGAGGAACACCGGUGGCGAAGGCGGUUCUCUGGGCAUUACCUGACGCUGAGGAGCGAAAGUGUGGGGGAGCGAACAGG
Molecule: ribosomal RNA, 256 nt
Filed under: uncultured bacterium
Lineage: Bacteria
Description: partial 16S ribosomal RNA
Rfam family: Bacterial small subunit ribosomal RNA
Source: RNAcentral